GGGGAUGUGGCGAAAUGGAAAACGCAGCGACUUCGCAAGUCGCGGCUGAUUCGUCAGCUUGAGGGUUCGACUCCCUCCAUCCCCA
Molecule: transfer RNA, 85 nt
Filed under: Chloroflexota bacterium
Lineage: Bacteria; Bacillati; Chloroflexota
Description: tRNA-Ala
Rfam family: tRNA
About the family: Transfer RNA (tRNA) molecules are approximately 80 nucleotides in length. Their secondary structure includes four short double-helical elements and three loops (D, anti-codon, and T loops). Further hydrogen bonds mediate the characteristic L-shaped molecular structure. tRNAs have two regions of fundamental functional importance: the anti-codon, which is responsible for specific mRNA codon recognition, and the 3' end, to which the tRNAs corresponding amino acid is attached (by aminoacyl-tRNA synthetases). tRNAs cope with the degeneracy of the genetic code in two manners: having more than one tRNA (with a specific anti-codon) for a particular amino acid; and 'wobble' base-pairing, i.e. permitting non-standard base-pairing at the 3rd anti-codon position.
Source: RNAcentral